This 84-nucleotide microRNA precursor is filed under the name Bombyx mori (domestic silkworm). Its description in RNAcentral is "mir-2807 microRNA precursor family". It matches the Rfam family "mir-2807 microRNA precursor family". The record is from Rfam by way of RNAcentral. Lineage: Eukaryota; Metazoa; Arthropoda; Insecta; Lepidoptera; Bombycidae.
UUAGCUCAUAUUUGUAUGGAAGGGGAUCGUUCGCCUACGUUUGCCGCUAGGGGCGCUGUUCCAACUGCAUACAAAAUUGGGCUA